UAAGUCGACUAUUGUAAGUCGCUUUGGACAAAAGCGUCUGCUAAAUGUAAUGUA
Molecule: regulatory RNA element, 54 nt
Organism: Astyanax mexicanus (Mexican tetra)
Lineage: Eukaryota; Metazoa; Chordata; Actinopteri; Characiformes; Acestrorhamphidae
Rfam family: UnaL2 LINE 3' element
About the family: The eel long interspersed element (LINE) UnaL2 and its partner short interspersed element (SINE) share a conserved 3' tail containing a stem-loop that is critical for their retrotransposition. Presumably, the first step of retrotransposition is the recognition of their 3' tails by UnaL2-encoded reverse transcriptase.
Source: Rfam